RNAcentral lists this unclassified non-coding RNA (343 nucleotides) under soil metagenome. Its description in RNAcentral is "partial contains 5.8S ribosomal RNA, internal transcribed spacer 2, and large subunit ribosomal RNA". The stretch from base 1 to 120 matches the Rfam family "5.8S ribosomal RNA", at positions 35 to 154 of the family's 154-position model. The record is from RNAcentral.
GAUGAAGAACGCAGCGAAAUGCGAUAAGUAAUGUGAAUUGCAGAAUUCAGUGAAUCAUCGAAUCUUUGAACGCACAUUGCGCCCGCCAGUAUUCUGGCGGGCAUGCCUGUUCGAGCGUCAUUUCAACCCUCAGGCCCCGCCUGGCGUUGGGGAUCGGCGCGGCCCUCUCCGGGCUGCCGGCCCCGAAAACUAGUGGCGGUCUCGCUGUAGUCCUCCUCUGCGCAGUAGCAACGCUCGCACUGGAACUCGGCGCGGCCACGCCGUAAAACACCCCACGUCUGAAAGUUGACCUCGGAUCAGGUAGGAAUACCCGCUGAACUUAAGCAUAUCAAUAAGCGGAGGA